Molecule: ribosomal RNA, 231 nt
Filed under: uncultured bacterium
Lineage: Bacteria
Description: partial 16S ribosomal RNA
Rfam family: Bacterial small subunit ribosomal RNA
Source: RNAcentral
GACGAACGCUGGCGGCGUGCUUAACACAUGCAAGUCGAGCGGUAAGGCCCUUUCGGGGGUACGACGAGCGGCGAACGGGUGAGUAACACGUGAGCAACCUGCCCUUCACUUCGGGAUAAGCCUCGGAAACGGGGUCUAAUACCGGAUAUCACUCCUUACUUCAUGGUUUGGGGUUGAAAGUUUUGGCGGUGGGGAGUGGGCUCGCGGCCUAUCAGCUUGUUGGUGGGGUAA